GGUUGUGUAGUGUAAUGGUUAUCACUCUGGAUUCUGACGAUUAAAACACGUCCUUUCCAGCAAUCUGAGUUCGAUUCUCAGCACGACCU
Molecule: non-coding RNA, 89 nt
Organism: Cryphonectria parasitica EP155
Lineage: Eukaryota; Fungi; Ascomycota; Sordariomycetes; Diaporthales; Cryphonectriaceae
Source: the annotation of a RefSeq genome assembly